RNAcentral lists this small RNA (27 nucleotides) under Bombyx mori (domestic silkworm). RNAcentral's name for it is "ovarian small RNA-9969". The record is from RNAcentral. Lineage: Eukaryota; Metazoa; Arthropoda; Insecta; Lepidoptera; Bombycidae.
AAACGAGAAAAUACGACGUUGACUUGC